GGGCGCCAGCCGGGAAAAGCCCGGCUCACCCCUGGGCCGCUUGGCCGCUGCGCGGGCCCCCAAGCCGCGGAGGGACAGCGAAAGGGGACUGACGCUGAGCUGAGCUCUCCCGGGGAGGGGCGAGCGCGCCUGGGCGAGGUGCGGAGGGAGGGAAGAGCGUCGCGAAGCUCACGGCCAGCGGUGGAUCAUCCGGGCCAGUUUGCGUCUCGGGGCUGCGAGAUGCGCGACGAGGACAAGGGCAUGCUCGGUGGUGGCGGCGACGACGACGCGGGCCUGGCCAACGCCGCGGCGCGGGGACAAGUGGAGACCGUGCAGCAGCUCCUGGAAGCCGGUGCAGAUCCCAACGGAGUCAACGGCUUCGGGAGGCGCCCGAUCCAGGUCAUGAUGAUGGGCAGCGCCCGCGUGGCCGAGCUGCUGCUGCUCCACGGCGCGGACCCCAACCGCGCGGACCCCGCCACCCUCACCCGACCCGUGCACGACGCGGCCCGGGAGGGCUUCCUGGACACGCUGGUGGCGCUGCACCGAGCCGGGGCGCGGCUGGACGUGCGCGACGCCUGGGGCCGCCUGCCCGUGGACCUGGCUGAGGAGCGGGGCCACCGCGACGUCGCCCGGUACCUGCGCGCGGCCGCGGGAGAUUGAUGGCGGGGACACCCAGCCGCCCACAAGGACUUUUCCUUUUUUCCCCAGUUCCCCACCCCAACUUAGUUCAAUGAAGGCUGCAGACGUGGAGCGGCGGAAAGCCUGAAAGCCUGAAAGCCUUCCUGGGCGACUCACUCCCUGCGGGGAAGGAGGGGCAGACCGGGAAUAAGUUGCUGUUUUUUUUUUUUCCCUGGAUCCCGCCCUCGACACUCACUGAGAAGCCAAACGCAGAGAGGUGAGGCAAAUGGAUUUCCAGCGAGAUUUAGGAGAGGAAUAUGAAGUUCCCAAGUGUCGUUUGCUUUUCAGGGUUUUCUGGCAAAAAGUGGCAUGUGAAGAAAUCCUCGACCGACCCCGGGUGCCUGCGGAUCUUCGCCGGGAAGAUGCUGGCGGCGGCGUGGGAGGAGGCGAUGAUUGGCAUUCGGCUGGAGGCAGGUGAUAAGUUCACCCCACUGAUCUUGAAGGAGCCCCCUGUAAGCCCCCACUUCCGGCGUUAGGCCCUGGGGGCUACGAGGGCAGAGCUGAAGACAGGACCAGAAGAGGACCGUGGAUGUGGGCGUCAGUAGGUGCCCAACGCUUUACACGCAGUGCGGUGCCCGGCAAGCCACGUGCACAACGAUACUCACUAGAAGCCCUGAGACUCGUGCCCAGCUCCACGGGCUAGUGACGGGGAAGAGAGGAUGCGGAGCCACCACGAAUUUGCCCACAGGUUCUAAAAUCCCUGGGUCAAGGUGAUGCAGAACAGCUCUCAGAAAGGGGCUGGCGCUUGCUGUUGUUCAGUGGAGGCGAGAUUCCUGUGGUGGUCCAGAUGUCAGCGCACGGAAUGAGGUGGUGGAUUGUAGCAAGAGCAACUGUAGCGGUUAACGAUAGUCAACAGAUUAUUGACAACACAUGGAGUUUUCUUCUGAAGGGUGAGUAUUGGAAAUAUUUAUACCCAAGGGCUCCUCAUUCCAUCUGUGGGUUAUGAGUUGCUAAGCUCUAUCACCUUUCCUAAUGCACAGCAGUCCCCUUCCCAGUCCUCUGUAUUCCCUCCCAACAUGCCACCUGGAGUUAUAAACUAUAACCUUGCCUCAAAUAUUUUGUCAUCCUCUACUACUCUCUAAUCUCUGGCUGCCUUUGAUAGAGUUUUCACAUAUGGAUCUAUUCCAGGAUUUCAGGAGCCUUCUGUUUAAAUCCCAUCCUAAACAGAAUAAUUUAAUGUCAUUCCCUUUCUAAAGAAAAAUUAAAUGACAUCUCAUUUUACAUUCCCCUCCAGGAAUUUAUUACAUCUGUACAAUGACCAUGCUGUCCUGACCAGUCAUUUAAGACCAACAGAAAGGGAAGUGGUUCUGCACGCUGGCUUCAUAUCAGAAUCACCCAUGGAGGUGUUCUAAAAUCGAGAUUUACUGACCAACUUCAGGUCUAAGAAUUAGAAUCUCUGGGUUUGGGGUCCCAAAUUUCUGUGGUUACUUUAAAGUUCCCAUUCAUGGUAAACUUGCAAACAGUACAGAAAAUAAACAGAAUGAGGUAAAAAUCUCCUGAAACCUCCCUACCUUCUCAUUCUCACUACCCAGGGAUAACCACUAUUUUUAAAAAUUUUUAAGUAACCUCCCAGAAACAUGGAUACAUGUAAUUGUAAACACACCUCCCCCAACACAGAUAUUUGGAAAACAUAAAUGGGACCAUACUAUUCUGCAACUUGUUUUCUUGAUUAGUAAUAGACCUUUGACAACUUCCAUUUUCUGGACAUAUAGAUGCUCUUCAUUUUUUAAUGGGUGCAUAGUUUUGUAUUUUAUGGAUGAACCCAAAUGUUUUAAAACCAGCCUCCUGUUGACAAACAUCUAAAUUGUGUCCUUUUUCCUUUCCUGCUCUUUUUUAUACUACUACAUAUGAUGCUAUAAAGAACCUUCUUUGCACCCUUAUAUGAGCUACCUGCAGCAAUUUAUAGGAGUGAAAUUGCUGAGGCUAAGGGUACAUCUCUCUUUCUCUCUCUC
Molecule: RNA transcript, 2609 nt
Organism: Diceros bicornis minor
Lineage: Eukaryota; Metazoa; Chordata; Mammalia; Perissodactyla; Rhinocerotidae
Gene: CDKN2B
Gene name: cyclin dependent kinase inhibitor 2B
Exons: 3
Source: RefSeq, a predicted model, not a curated record